AACGAGAACAACCUUACCAGGACUUGACAUCCAACUAACGAAGUAGAGAUACAUUAGGUGCCCUUCGGGGAAAGUUGAGACAGGUGGUGCAUGGUUGUCGUCAGCUCGUGUCGUGAGAUGUUGGGUUAAGUCCCGCAACGAGCGCAACCCCUAUUGUUAGUUGCUACGCAAGAGCACUCUAGCGAGACUGCCGUUGACAAAACGGAGGAAGGCGGGGAGGACGUCAAAUCAUCAUGCCCCUUAUGUCUUGGGCUACACACGUAAUACAAUGGUGGUAAACAAAGGGAAGCAAAGCCGGGAGGUGGAGCAAAUCCCCAAAAGCCAUCUCAGUUCGGAUUGCAGGCUGCAACUCGCCUGCAUGAAGUCUGGAAUCGCUAGUAAUCGCGAUCAGCAUA
This 395-nucleotide ribosomal RNA is filed under the name uncultured bacterium. RNAcentral describes it as "bacterial SSU rRNA". It matches the Rfam family "Bacterial small subunit ribosomal RNA", at positions 958 to 1356 of the family's 1533-position model. The record is from RNAcentral.